RNAcentral lists this non-coding RNA (26 nucleotides) under Cricetulus griseus (Chinese hamster). The record is from RNAcentral. Lineage: Eukaryota; Metazoa; Chordata; Mammalia; Rodentia; Cricetidae.
GAAUCAAGUGGUUGGAACACUGUCUG